CAGUAGCCACGGUAAUGCGUAGGGUGCAAGCGUUAAUCGGAAUUACUGGGCGUAAAGCGUGCGCAGGCGGUUCGCUAAGACAGAUGUGAAAUCCCCGGGCUUAACCUGGGAACUGCAUUUGUGACCGGCGGGCUAGAGUAUGGCAGAGGGGGGUAGAAUUCCACGUGUAGCAGUGAAAUGCGUAGAGAUGUGGAGGAAUACCGAUGGCGAAGGCAGCCCCCUGGGCCAAUACUGACGCUCAUGCACGAAAGCGUGGGGAGCAAACAGGAUUAGAUACCCCUGUAGUCCCUGUCUCUUAUAC
RNAcentral lists this ribosomal RNA (301 nucleotides) under uncultured bacterium. RNAcentral describes it as "partial 16S ribosomal RNA". It matches the Rfam family "Bacterial small subunit ribosomal RNA", at positions 509 to 807 of the family's 1533-position model. The record is from RNAcentral.